AUUGAACGCUGGCGUCAGGCUUAACACAUGCAAGUCGAGCGGAGAUGAGGUGCUUGCACCUUAUCUUAGCGGCGGACGGGUGAGUAAUGCUUAGGAAUCUGCCUAUUAGUGGGGGACAACAUUCCGAAAGGAAUGCUAAUACCGCAUACGUCCUACGGGAGAAAGCAGGGGAUCUUCGGACCUUGCGCUAAUAGAUGAGCCUAAGUCGGAUUAGCUAGUUGGUGGGGUAAAGGCCUACCAAGGCGACGAUCUGUAGCGGGUAUGAGAGGAUGAUCCGCCCCACUGGGACGGAGACACGGCCCAGACUCCGACGGGAGGCAGCAGUGGGGAAUAUUGGACAAUGGUGGGAACCCUGAUCCAGCCAUGCCGGGUGUGUGAAGAAGACCUUAUGGUUGUAAAGCACUUUAAGCGAGGAGGAGGCUACUGAGACUAAUACUCUUGGAUAGUGGACGUUACUCGCAGAAUAAGCACCGGCUAACUCUGUGCCAGCCGCCGCAGUAA
RNAcentral lists this ribosomal RNA (501 nucleotides) under uncultured bacterium. Its description in RNAcentral is "partial 16S ribosomal RNA". It matches the Rfam family "Bacterial small subunit ribosomal RNA", at positions 30 to 523 of the family's 1533-position model. The record is from RNAcentral.